UUUGCCAAAUAUUCCGUUCAAGUUCCUCGCUGGAUGUCCGGCUCGUCCGUCGAUGUUCAAUAGAUGCAACAAGUGCCAGUCCACUUUUUCUCAGCUGCACCUUCUCAGUCCAGCAGCAGCACCAGGUGAAUGUAUAGGUACACAACUUCCAAGUGAAUUAAGACGCACAAGUGUGUAGUGCUACUGAAGACUAACGAGACCAGACAACAACAUGGCGGUGGAAUUGCCAGGUCAGAGCGAGAGCUCGGGCUGAGCGAGGCAAGGCUAUUUAUUAUUCGCACAAGUGCAAUUCUGAUUUUCAGGCAUGGAGAGAAGAAAUGCGCAGGAUGCAGCCAAGAGUCAUUUUACUAAAGGCACAGGGGUAAAAAGAUCGAAAGAUGGAAGCUUAAAGUGUUAUUAUAUUUGUAACUGAUCGGGUGCUUUUAUAGAGAGGACACAUCAAAGGAAAUAAGGUCCAUCAAAUCACAAGGUUCCGUCAGGCGUGGGGACACCUGCCUUGCUGAUAUGUCUGCAAUGUUCCAAACUGGCAAGGUCUCGUUUGUCUUCCAAUCUUCCUAUUAUGCACAUGAUUUUGGGGCUGUCCCACACCCCACUGACAAAAACAGAGGAAGAUGCAAUAGAGGCGGCCCGUGCAGGCACUUGUAAAACACUAUGUUGUACUGGAAUGUCCUUUUUUUACCUUCAAGAAACUAUUUGUUUAUGUUAGGGAAACUAUGUGACGGCAUUGCACUCAGCGUACUAUGCAGCUCAGUAUUCGGGGUGUGCUGGAUGGCACGUUUCAAAGGAUCCAAUUCACCUCACUACAAGGCAGUACUUGUACACCACCAUGAGGGACUAUAAUAUAUGUUACGGUGAGAGGAAACACGACGACAAUCAAAACAGUGUUGCCCUGUUCAGUUCUAUCAGAGCCCAAACAAACAGUCCAGUGCUUUCCCUCACACACACAGGCAAGAAGGAUGAUCCUACUGUCUUUCAACGAGGGAAUACUGACUUGUUGCAAGAUGAGGAUUUCUUGCUAGUUCUCAUGACAGGCAUGCAAAAACAGCUGUUAAGGCAUUUGGGCACCAACAAAAGUGUGAUGA
Molecule: long non-coding RNA, 1082 nt
Organism: Ornithodoros turicata
Lineage: Eukaryota; Metazoa; Arthropoda; Arachnida; Ixodida; Argasidae
Exons: 3
Source: RefSeq, a predicted model, not a curated record